UCCCCGGUAGCUCAGUUGGUAGAGCGGGUGGCUGUUAACCACUUAGUCGCUGGUUCGAGUCCGGCCCGGGGAGCCA
Molecule: transfer RNA, 76 nt
Filed under: Deltaproteobacteria bacterium
Lineage: Bacteria; Pseudomonadati; Myxococcota; Myxococcia
Also listed under: 2 other names
Description: tRNA-Asn
Rfam family: tRNA
About the family: Transfer RNA (tRNA) molecules are approximately 80 nucleotides in length. Their secondary structure includes four short double-helical elements and three loops (D, anti-codon, and T loops).
Source: RNAcentral